GAUGAACGCUGGCGGCGUGCCUAAUACAUGCAAGUCGAGCGAACAGAUAAGGAGCUUGCUCCUUUGACGUUAGCGGCGGACGGGUGAGUAACACGUGGGUAACCUACCUAUAAGACUGGGAUAACUUCGGGAAACCGGAGCUAAUACCGGAUAACAUUUGGAACCGCAUGGUUCUAAAGUGAAAUAUGGUUUUGCUAUCACUUAUAGAUGGACCCGCGCCGUAUUAGCUAGUUGGUAAGGUAACGGCUUACCAAGGCAACGAUACGUAGCCGACCUGAGAGGGUGAUCGGCCACACUGGAACUGAGACACGGUCCAGACUCCUACGGGAGGCAGCAGUAGGGAAUCUUCCGCAAUGGGCGAAAGCCUGACGGAGCAACGCCGCGUGAGUGAUGAAGGGUUUCGGCUCGUAAAACUCUGUUAUUAGGGAAGAACAAACGUGUAAGUAACUGUGCACGUCUUGACGGUACCUAAUCAGAAAGCCACGGCUAACUACGUG
This 497-nucleotide ribosomal RNA is filed under the name uncultured bacterium. Its description in RNAcentral is "partial 16S ribosomal RNA". It matches the Rfam family "Bacterial small subunit ribosomal RNA", at positions 28 to 507 of the family's 1533-position model. The record is from RNAcentral.